This 74-nucleotide transfer RNA is filed under the name Mycobacteroides abscessus subsp. abscessus. Its description in RNAcentral is "tRNA-Asn(gtt)". It matches the Rfam family "tRNA". From Rfam's summary of the family: Transfer RNA (tRNA) molecules are approximately 80 nucleotides in length. The record is from RNAcentral. Lineage: Bacteria; Bacillati; Actinomycetota; Actinomycetes; Mycobacteriales; Mycobacteriaceae.
UAGCUCGUAGCUCAAUUGGCAGAGCGCGCGACUGUUAAUCGCGUGGUUGGAGGUUCGACUCCUCCCGGGCUAGC